Molecule: long non-coding RNA, 1184 nt
Filed under: Strix occidentalis caurina (northern spotted owl)
Lineage: Eukaryota; Metazoa; Chordata; Aves; Strigiformes; Strigidae
Description: lncRNA (ENSSOCG00000000472.1)
Source: RNAcentral
CUGAAAACUUCCAAAAUUCCCUUGUAGCAUGUGUGAGAUUGAAAUAGGACACUGCAGAAAGAAUUCACUUCUGGAGGAAAAAAAAAAAAAAAAAAGACAUGUGCAACCAAUUAUGGCACAUCGCAGAUCACGGGUAGACUGUAAAAUGCUUCUUCUGAGCAGCACGCCUGUGUUCUUAAAACUGCUAUGAGCAGCUACGUACCAGUGUUUCUUACGUAAAACCUCCCAACAAAGUCACUCUUUUCCGCAUCUUAACCUAAAUAGUAUUUUUCAGAAUCUAAAGGAAGUUCUUUCUCCCCCGACCUUACGAAAGUUUCAGAGCGGCUGUGUGGUCGCUGUGAAGCCCCGCUCGCUCUCUCGACUGCGUGUUAUUUUCAGCCGCCCUCCGGCAGCGUUUCGCACCCCGCCUGACGGCUGCGCCCCGCUGCGCGCUGCCGCCCCCCCCCCUUCCUUCCCUUUUCCUUCCUUCCCUUUUCCUUCCUUCCUUCCCUUUUCCUUCCUUCCUUCCUUCCUUCCUUCCUUCCUUCCNNNNNNNNNNNNNNNNNNNNNNNNNNCCUUCCUUCCUUCCUUCCUUCCUUCCUUCCUUCCUUCCUUCCUUCCUUCCUUCCUUCCUUCCUUCCUUCCUUCCCUUUUCCUUCCUUCCCUUUUCCUUCCUUCCUUCCUUCCCUCCCUCCCUCCCUCCCGCCGGCGGCGGCGGCCCUGCGGGUUACCAUGGCAAUGUCGCCCCGCAGGAGCUGGUGGAGUCCCGCCCGAUCGGCGCGGGCCGGCUGGGCCGGGUGGAGGCGCUGGGCCCCGCCGCGGAGCGCGGCACGACGGCCGGCGGGCGGCGGCUGCUGGCCGCCGAGAUGCGGGCGCUGCGGUCAGAGUGGCAGCAGUGGGAGGAGAGCGCCGUCCGGAGCCAGGGCAGCCUGCGGGACCUGCUCAGCCAGAUGGCCCUCUCGGAGCGGGAGUUCGCGGCGCGGGCGGCGCGGCUGGAGGAGGCCCUGCGGCGGCUCGGGGAGCUGCUGGCCGCCUGGUCGCAGGGCCUGGCCCCCCGCGACAGCCGCCACACCGACAGCGAGGUCCUGGAGAGCUGGCGCAAGGAGAAAGUAAGGUCACAUCUCUUUUCCUAGCGGCUCCUCGGUUGUAAGUGUUCGGUUACUGUGGGCAGAAAACUUUGGCCAAGCGGGACUACCAGGGAGAAA